UAAAAGAAUAUAUUGAUAUCGUACACUGCAUAUGUCAUUGCUUUACCCUUUGUUAGUAUAUUCUUACAUAGAAUAUUGUGUCUAGACGCCGCAUUGCAGCAUCUUACCUUAAAGCAGUGCAGCUACCAUUCAUUUACUUUGUAACAUUAAUGCCAUCUUUAUACCAAUACUCUAGCGAUGGGACUAAUAGGACUUUAGAAAAUCACAGCACAGCAUUGUUGCAGCCCAACGGAGGCUGGUGUUUGGAGCACAGGGUGAAUGGAAAAUGCUGAAGCUGAGUCAUGAAGAACCCUCAGCUGUCGCACAUUGCCACCUGGUGGAUUGUAUACUUCCAGAUGUAAAGUACAUGUUUAAUCAUUUCACAAUGUCGACUUGACUACAUAAUGCUCCAGGAGGAAAUGAAGAUAUGUCGCCUGUGGUUAACCAGGCUUCAUUUGAUUACCGUAACAGCAUGAUUACUUAAAAUAAUUUAAAUCUGAGGUUUAGUUUUACAUAAUGAAAUGUCUGACGCUCUGCGAUUGUGUAAACAAAGUGUAUAUACUCUAAUGCAAACAAGUGUACAUCAGAUUCUAAAGGUUUUAACGUUUUAUUAAAAAUAAUAUUAAUUUGCUUUAUUUUCCAUCCAGUCGUAUUCUGCAGAAAAGACAAUGAAUACCUUUAUACAGAGAGAGUUUUUCAGCACAGCCAUUUGCACUUAUUUGUGUGGGGAUUCAGGAUUAAUCAUCCUAAAAAAAUAACAAUACAUCAUGAACCAAAUGUUUUUAGGGCUUGCAGUUCACUAAGUGCAAUAUUCUGAGGACAUACACAUUAGAAUCAAUGAAUAUGUAGCUGAUUGGUCCCUUUAGUCUGAAAUUGAAUUGAUAAUUGUGAGGAGGUCACUAGUAUUAUUAUAAUGAGUUCUCUCUCUCUCUCUCUCUCCGUCCCUCUAAUAGCACAUCAGCUGAGUGGGCAGCUGCUGGACAAAAGCAGAACUAGUGUAGGUGUGUUAUUCAGCCACAUCCGUUUUUCGCUGGAACAAUGGAACGUGACCCCGUGUCACCCAUCGCUCCACCACACACGUCAGAGGAUAACUUCUUGACCUGACAGUUUCACCUAUUUGAUGAGGACCCACGUCUUUCCGACUACAUUGUUCUGUAAAAGUUACUAAUGGGUUUUUAAAAAAACAUUUUAUUUUCAUUUAAACCUUUAUUUAACAUUGAGAUGAAACGUCUCUUUUUCGAGGGAGAACUGGCCAGGACAGGCAGCGACAUAGAAACGCAUAGUUUCAGACAGAAAACACACAAUAAGACGAGUUAAAAGAAACUAGAAGUUUAAGAGACAUGAUGUAACCAGGUUAAUAAAAAACAAAACACUGACAUUUUUGGGAACCUGCCUCCAUUUCCUUAAUUUUAGAUUGAAAAGCAGUAAGUCGUAUCAAUUCUUUACGUUUAAUAUCUUUCUGCAACGUAUUCGCCGAUGAGGGUGCCGACUACACAAAAGCCCUUUUCCCCAUUUCCGUUCUGGCAUUUGCGACAAGGAGCACAAAAAAGUCCUGAGAACGCAAAGAGUUUCUGCAUGACGACAGACACACAGGUAGCUUGGUGAGCAGACCAAGGACUUGCCUCACAAACGAAGGCCAAAGCCGGCCAUCCCACCCGAGAGCACGACUCACAGUGGUGAGUGAGAGGCCACGGUAAGCAUGGCAACGACUGCACCUACUUACCGCUUUGAAGAAGAACCACCACUUACGUCGGGAUGCUUUUGAUGAGUUAUCUGAGGUAACAGGUUGACAGACGAGGCCUGCAGGAGGGAUGUGCCUCUAAACACUCUGAAUUCAGUGACUCAUUUGUUUAAAGAGGGAUCCAAACAAAGCCCACGUUGCCUUUCCUAAGCCUUACGGGGGGAUUCUGUUUUCCGACAACACAAAAGUGUUUACGUGGUGCGACAAGUUGAGAGAGAAAAAUGAUCACAUUGAAAAAGGAAAUAGGACAAUUCUGUAAACAACAAAGGCUCGGACUCUUUGACAAAGUUUAGCACACACCCACAACCCGUGAGUAAGCAUGGCAGAUGGUUACUGCUCUACAUCACAACAUAAAGAUGACUUACUGCAAGAGGAGCAAACAGAUUCUACACCACACGCGAUGUUUACGUGUACGAGCAAUCGGUGCACGUGCAGAGUGUCCGCAGGCAAGCAAGCAGGUAGACAAGCAGAAAUUACAUUGUGAUUGGAUGAGAUGAGAAUUUUAACAAAUAAAACAAAACUUUUAAGACGAUGGCCAACCUGUAAUGUAUGCCUUUGUGAGGUUGUCUUUGGGUGAGAAUGUUAAAUGUGCAGUUGUGAGUUUUGCUUUGUGAUGCCAAUGUAAAUCCAAUCAACACUUCAGUUCAUCAAAUGUGGCAGCCAAUUUAUGUUAUAUGAUAAAAUACAAUGAAGUUUUGCAGUCAUCCAGGAGGAAGUAAAUAUGUUGUGGAUCUUACUGGCCUGGAUAUAGUCACACUUUUAAUGGUUUCUUUUGCCCUCUGCUGGCCUGUAGCAGAAAUUGUAUGAAAAUAGAAUUGAGUUCAAAUAUGUUGCAUUGGAAUUUAUGAAUACUUAUGAAUAUAGUGAUAUUGAUGUAUGAAAAUUUGAGUAGGAAACAAUAUUUUACAACUUUUGCAACAAUAUGGCGUUUGAACAAAACCUGUACCGUGGGUAAAUUUG
This is a long non-coding RNA of Gasterosteus aculeatus aculeatus (three-spined stickleback), 2680 nucleotides long. Lineage: Eukaryota; Metazoa; Chordata; Actinopteri; Perciformes; Gasterosteidae. The record is from Ensembl.